This 343-nucleotide ribosomal RNA is filed under the name Ixodes nipponensis. RNAcentral describes it as "partial large subunit ribosomal RNA". The record is from RNAcentral. Lineage: Eukaryota; Metazoa; Arthropoda; Arachnida; Ixodida; Ixodidae.
AAUAAGAUUUUAAAUGAGUGCUAAGAGAAUGGUUGAACAAUUAGAGGCUUUCUUUAAUUAAAUAAUUAAAUUUGAUUUUUUAGUGCAAAAGCAAAAAUUUAAAUUAGGGACAAGAAGACCCUAUGAAUUUUUAUUUUUUUUAAAUUUUUUAUUUUAAAAAAAGUUUAAUUGGGGUGAUAAAAAAAGAAUAAGUAUCUUUUUUAAAUAAAAGUUGGUUCCGUUUUUAGCGAUUAAAUGAAAAAAAUACUCUAGGGAUAACAGCGUAAUAAUUUUGGAUAGUUCAUAUAGAUAAAAUAGUUUGCGACCUCGAUGUUGGAUUAGGAUUCUUUUUCGGUGAAGAAGU